Paramormyrops kingsleyae is the source of this 131-nucleotide small nucleolar RNA. NCBI's taxonomy places the organism in Eukaryota, Metazoa, Chordata, Actinopteri, Osteoglossiformes, Mormyridae. The record is from RefSeq and is a predicted model, not a curated record.
CUUCAAUGAUGAUAUGAUGACGAGUCAGACCAGGCCACAUCCUGUCCAGGCCUAGGGCCACGUUCUGUGACUCUACCCCACGGCGAUGUGACCUCAUCACCUGAUGAUCUUGAGGCAUUUGUCUGAGAAGG